CCUACGGGAGGCAGCAGCGAGGAAUAUUGGUCAAUGGACGCAAGUCUGAACCAGCCAUGCCGCGUGCAGGAAGACGGCUCUAUGAGUUGUAAACUGCUUUUGUACGAGGGUAAAUCCCGAUACGUGUAUCGGGUUGAAAGUAUCGUAAGAAUAAGGAUCGGCUAACUCCGUGCCAGCAGCCGCGGUAAUACGGAGGGUGCGAGCGGUAAUCGGAAUUACUGGGCGGAAAGCGCUCGUAGGCGGUAUGUCAAGUCAAGGGAGAAAUCCCCGCGAUCAACGUGGGAACUGCCUUUGAAACUGGCAAACUGGAGUGUGUGAGAGGAUAGUGGAAUUCCAGGCGUAGGAGUGAAAUCCGUAGAUAUCUGGAGGAACAUCAGUGGCGAAGGCGACUAUCUGGCACAUAACUGACGCUGAGGAGCGAAAGCGUGGGUAGCAAACAGGAUUAGAUACCCCAGUAGUC
RNAcentral lists this ribosomal RNA (460 nucleotides) under uncultured bacterium. Its description in RNAcentral is "partial 16S ribosomal RNA". It matches the Rfam family "Bacterial small subunit ribosomal RNA", at positions 338 to 795 of the family's 1533-position model. The record is from RNAcentral.